This 1428-nucleotide ribosomal RNA is filed under the name oral metagenome. RNAcentral describes it as "bacterial LSU rRNA". It matches the Rfam family "Bacterial large subunit ribosomal RNA", at positions 696 to 2482 of the family's 2925-position model. The record is from RNAcentral.
UAAGUUAGCAGUAGUAGACGCGAAACCUGGUGAUCUACCCAUGGGCAGGUUGAAGCGCUGGUAACACAGCGUGGAGGACCGAACCGGUUGACGUUGAAAAGUCUUCGGAUGACCUGUGGGUAGGGGUGAAAGGCCAAUCAAACCAGGAAAUAGCUCGUACUCCCCGAAAUGCAUUUAGGUGCAGCGAUAUAGUAAGUUUUAUAGAGGUAGAGCUACUGAUUGGAUGCGGGGGCUUCACCGCCUACCAAUUCCUGACAAACUCCGAAUGCUAUAAAAUGUUAUAUAUCAGUGAGGGCAUGGGUGCUAAGGUCCGUGUCCGAGAGGGAAAGAACCCAGACCAUCAGCUAAGGUCCCCAAAUAUAUGUUAAGUUGAAGAAACGAGGUCCAAUUGCUUAGACAGCUAGGAUGUUGGCUUGGAAGCAGCCAUUCAUUUAAAGAGUGCGUAACAGCUCACUAGUCGAGCGAUAGGGCAUGGAUAAUAAUCGGGCAUAAACAUAUUACCGAAGCUAUGGACUUUUAAAAGUGGUAGGGGAGCAUUCUAUACGAGUAGAAGAUGUACUGCGAGGUAUGUUGGAUUGUAUAGAAAAGAAAAUGUAGGCAUAAGUAACGAUAAAGGGGGCGAGAAACCCCCUCACCGAAAGACUAAGGUUUCCUCAGCGAUGCUAAUCAGCUGAGGGUUAGUCGGGGCCUAAGGCGAACCCGAAAGGGGUAGUCGAUGGACAACAGGUUAAUAGUUCCAAGAAAAGCGAGUGAAGCAGCCCGUACCGUAAACCGACACAGGUAGUUGGGAUGAGGAUUCUAAGGUGCUCGAGAGAUUCAUGGCUAAGGAACUAGGCAAAAUAGACCUGUAACUUCGGGAGAAAGGUCGCCCUCCUCAGGGAGGGCCGCAGUGAAGAGGUCCAGGCGACUGUUUAUCAAAAACACAGGACUCUGCUAAAUCGAAAGAUGAUGUAUAGGGUCUGACACCUGCCCGGUGCUGGAAGGUUAAUUGGAGUUGUUAGCUUCGGCGAAGCAAUGAAAUGAAGCCCCAGUAAACGGCGGCCGUAACUAUAACGGUCCUAAGGUAGCGAAAUUCCUUGUCGGGUAAGUUCCGACCUGCACGAAUGGUGCAACGAUGAAGCUGCGUCGCCAGGCGUAGUGGAGUCAUUGUUGAAAUACCACCCUUUGCUUAUCUAGAGCCUAACCCAGCGAUGGGGACAGUGCUUGGUGGGUAGUUUGACUGGGGUGGUCGCCUCCAAAAGCGUAACGGAGGCUUCUAAAGGUACCCUCAGCACGCUUGGUAACCGUGCGUAGAGUGUAAUGGCAUAAGGGUGCUUGACUGAGAGACCUACAAGUCGAUCAGGUACGAAAGUAGAGCAUAGUGAUCCGGUGGUUCCGAAUGGAAGGGCCAUCGCUCAAAGGAUAAAAGGUACUCCGGGGAUAACAGGC